This 253-nucleotide ribosomal RNA is filed under the name uncultured bacterium. Its description in RNAcentral is "partial 16S ribosomal RNA". It matches the Rfam family "Bacterial small subunit ribosomal RNA", at positions 524 to 776 of the family's 1533-position model. The record is from RNAcentral.
UACAGAGGUCUCAAGCGUUGUUCGGAUUCAUUGGGCGUAAAGGGUGCGUAGGCGGCGCGGUAAGUCGGGUGUGAAAGUCACAGGCUCAACCUGUGAAUGCCGCUGGAAACUGUCUGGCUAGAGUCCGGGAGGGGCGAGUGGAAUUCCUGGUGUAGCGGUGAAAUGCGCAGAUAUCAGGAGGAACACCAAUGGCGAAGGCAGCUCGCUGGAACGGUACUGACGCUGAGGCGCGAAGGCGUGGGGAGCAAACAGG